GGCCUUGUGAUGUUCAGCAUAUAAAAUUGCAAAUUUUAAAGGGCAAAGUAGCUUUUUGCCGGGGCUU
This 67-nucleotide transfer RNA is filed under the name Paramesotriton deloustali (Vietnam warty newt). RNAcentral describes it as "tRNA-Cys". RNAcentral also lists the same sequence under 1 other name. Lineage: Eukaryota; Metazoa; Chordata; Amphibia; Caudata; Salamandridae. The record is from RNAcentral.